GCAUGUGCAGCCUCCUUGCUUAUUGUGGUUGUUAGGCACAAGAACUAGAUUUUGGUGUUGUUGGGUCAUGGAUUUGCAAAUCUAGGAUAAAAUCAGUGUGAUAGCAAUUCUUGGAAGAGUAUGGUAUCUCAUUAGAUUGGCCGAAGUUUGUCACUCAUAAGACACAAGUGAGUCAUCGAUGAUCCCUUCUUCCUCCUCCCUCAACUGCUAGCUUAUUUGAUAUGCUCCUCUCUCUUUCUCUUGUCAGUGACUUUUGAUUUUAUGGUGAUGUUCUUUUAUGAAGAAGAUUGCUCUAUGCAAGUUCUAUGAACUUCAAACCACGUAUAUCAGUUGCUCCUUUUUAUGUGCUUUCAUGGCAAUUUCAGCAUCUUCCAAACAACCAAGGCGACUCAGGUUUUGUUAGCAGUCGGUAGUUGUGUAUUUUGUAUGUGAAGUUUUAUAGUUAAACUCUGAGCCUUAUAUCUAUUCCCAAUUCAAUGAAUUUAUAUUAUGUCUGGUAAAAAGAAAAAAGAUAAGUGCGAUCUAAUCGAGGUGGUGAGGUUGAAAAAUC
Molecule: long non-coding RNA, 550 nt
Filed under: Manihot esculenta (cassava)
Lineage: Eukaryota; Viridiplantae; Streptophyta; Magnoliopsida; Malpighiales; Euphorbiaceae
Description: long non-coding RNA (MESC_LNC009801)
Source: RNAcentral